RNAcentral lists this ribosomal RNA (373 nucleotides) under uncultured organism. Its description in RNAcentral is "bacterial SSU rRNA". It matches the Rfam family "Bacterial small subunit ribosomal RNA", at positions 526 to 896 of the family's 1533-position model. The record is from RNAcentral.
CAGAGGUGGCAAGCGUUGUUCGGAAUUACUGGGCGUAAAGGGCGCGUAGGCGGCUUUUUAAGUCAGACGUGAAAUCCCCAGGCUUAACCUGGGAACUGCGUCUGAUACUGAGAAGCUUGAGUUCGGGAGAGGGAUGUGGAAUUCCAGGUGUAGCGGUGAAAUGCGUAGAUAUCUGGAGGAACACCGGUGGCGAAGGCGGCAUCCUGGACCGAAACUGACGCUGAGGCGCGAAAGCCAGGGGAGCAAACGGGAUUAGAUACCCCGGUAGUCCUGGCCCUAAACGAUGAGUGCUUGGUGUGGCGGGUAUCGAUCCCUGCCGUGCCGAAGCUAACGCAUUAAGCACUCCGCCUGGGGGAGUACGGUCGCAAGGCUG